Molecule: ribosomal RNA, 1551 nt
Filed under: Haloferax sp. ATCC BAA-644
Lineage: Archaea; Methanobacteriati; Methanobacteriota; Halobacteria; Halobacteriales; Haloferacaceae
Description: bacterial SSU rRNA
Rfam family: Archaeal small subunit ribosomal RNA
Source: RNAcentral
UCCGGUUGAUCCUGCCGGAGGUCAUUGCUAUUGGGGUCCGAUUUAGCCAUGCUAGUUGCACGAGUUUAGACUCGUUGCGGAAAGCUCAGUAACACGUGGACAAACUACCCUACGGAGAACGAUAACCUCGGGAAACUGAGGCUAAUAGUUCAUAGGGGAGUCGCGCUGGAAAUGCCGACUCCCCCAAACGCUCCGGCGCCGUAGGAUGUGUCUGCGGCCGAUUAGGUAGACGGNAUAGUUCAUAGGGGAGUCGCGCUGGAAAUGCCGACUCCCCCAAACGCUCCGGCGCCGUAGGAUGUGUCUGCGGCCGAUUAGGUAGACGGUGGGGUAACGGCCCACCGUGCCGAUAAUCGGUACGGGUUGUGAGAGCAAGAGCCCGGAGACGGAAUCUGAGACAAGAUUCCGGGCCCUACGGGGCGCAGCAGGCGCGAAACCUUUACACUGCACGCAAGUGCGAUAAGGGGACCCCAAGUGCGAGGGCAUAUAGUCCUCGCUUUUCUCGACUGUAAGGCGGUCGAGGAAUAAGAGCUGGGCAAGACCGGUGCCAGCCGCCGCGGUAAUACCGGCAGCUCAAGUGAUGACCGAUAUUAUUGGGCCUAAAGCGUCCGUAGCCGGCCAUGAAGGUUCAUCGGGAAAUCCGCCAGCUCAACUGGCGGGCGUCCGGUGAAAACCACAUGGCUUGGGACCGGAAGGCUCGAGGGGUACGUCCGGGGUAGGAGUGAAAUCCCGUAAUCCUGGACGGACCACCGAUGGCGAAAGCACCUCGAGAAGACGGAUCCGACGGUGAGGGACGAAAGCUAGGGUCUCGAACCGGAUUAGAUACCCGGGUAGUCCUAGCUGUAAACGAUGCUCGCUAGGUGUGACACAGGCUACGAGCCUGUGUUGUGCCGUAGGGAAGCCGAGAAGCGAGCCGCCUGGGAAGUACGUCCGCAAGGAUGAAACUUAAAGGAAUUGGCGGGGGAGCACUACAACCGGAGGAGCCUGCGGUUUAAUUGGACUCAACGCCGGACAUCUCACCAGCUCCGACUACAGUGAUGACGAUCAGGUUGAUGACCUUAUCACGACGCUGUAGAGAGGAGGUGCAUGGCCGCCGUCAGCUCGUACCGUGAGGCGUCCUGUUAAGUCAGGCAACGAGCGAGACCCGCACUUCUAAUUGCCAGCAGCAGUUUCGACUGGCUGGGGACAUUAGAAGGACUGCCGCUGCUAAAGCGGAGGAAGGAACGGGCAACGGUAGGUCAGUAUGCCCCGAAUGAGCUGGGCUACACGCGGGCUACAAUGGUCGAGACAAUGGGUUGCUAUCUCGAAAGAGAACGCUAAUCUCCUAAACUCGAUCGUAGUUCGGAUUGAGGGCUGAAACUCGCCCUCAUGAAGCUGGAUUCGGUAGUAAUCGCAUUUCAAUAGAGUGCGGUGAAUACGUCCCUGCUCCUUGCACACACCGCCCGUCAAAGCACCCGAGUGAGGUCCGGAUGAGGCCACCACACGGUGGUCGAAUCUGGGCUUCGCAAGGGGGCUUAAGUCGUAACAAGGUAGCCGUAGGGGAAUCUGCGGCUG